AAUAAUUGUUAGAAAAAAACUUUUACACAACUGCAUACAAGAGCAACCCGGAGAUACUUUGAUAGCUCAGGUUACCACAAUACCUGCAGCUGCAACUCACCUUUCUUAUAAUG
Molecule: small nucleolar RNA, 113 nt
Filed under: Castor canadensis (American beaver)
Lineage: Eukaryota; Metazoa; Chordata; Mammalia; Rodentia; Castoridae
Description: Small nucleolar RNA SNORA44 (ENSCCNG00000002414.1)
Rfam family: Small nucleolar RNA SNORA44
About the family: ACA44 is a member of the H/ACA class of snoRNA that guide the sites of modification of uridines to pseudouridines.
Source: Rfam by way of RNAcentral